This 473-nucleotide ribosomal RNA is filed under the name uncultured bacterium. RNAcentral describes it as "bacterial SSU rRNA". It matches the Rfam family "Bacterial small subunit ribosomal RNA", at positions 329 to 793 of the family's 1533-position model. The record is from RNAcentral.
CGCUACACUCCUACGGGAGGCAGCAGUGGGGAAUAUUGCACAAUGGGGGAAACCCUGAUGCAGCCAUGCCGCGUGUGUGAAGAAGGCCUUCGGGUUGUAAAGCACUUUCAGUAGGGAGGAAGGUAGUGUAGUUAACACCUGCAUUAUUUGACGUUACCUACAGAAGAAGCACCGGCUAACUCCCGUGCCAGCAGCCGCGGUAAUACGGAGGGUGCGAGCGUUAAUCGGAAUUACUGGGCGUAAAGCGCAUGCAGGCGGCCUGUUAAGUCAGAUGUGAAAGCCCGGGGCUUAACCUCGGAAUUGCAUUUGAAACUGGCAGGCUAGAGUCUUGUAGAGGGGGUAGAAUUUCAGGUGUAGCGGUGAAAUGCGUAGAGAUCUGAAGGAAUACCAGUGGCGAAGGCGGCCCCCUGGACAAAGACUGACGCUCAGAUGCGAAAGCGUGGGGAGCAAACAGGAUUAGAUACCCCUGGUAG